This 508-nucleotide ribosomal RNA is filed under the name uncultured Glomus. RNAcentral's name for it is "SSU rRNA". It matches the Rfam family "Eukaryotic small subunit ribosomal RNA", at positions 569 to 1078 of the family's 1831-position model. Lineage: Eukaryota; Fungi; Glomeromycota; Glomeromycetes; Glomerales; Glomeraceae. The record is from RNAcentral.
AGCAGCCGCGGUAAUUCCAGCUCCAAUAGCGUAUAUUAAAGUUGUUGCAGUUAAAAAGCUCGUAGUUGAAUUUCGGGAUCAAUAUAUCGGUCGUGCCUUCGGUACGUACUGGUAUCAUUGGUUUCUCCUUUCUGACGAACCAUGAUGUCAUUAAUUUGGUGUUAUGGGGAGUUAGGACUGUUACUUUGAAAAAAUUAGAGUGUUUAAAGCAGGUUUUAGCUUGAAUACAUUAGCAUGGAAUAAUGAAAUAGGACGUUCGAACCUAUUUUGUUGGUUUCUAGGAUCAACGUAAUGAUUAAUAGGGAUAGUUGGGGGCAUUAGUAUUCAAUUGUCAGAGGUGAAAUUCUUGGAUUUAUUGAAGACUAACUACUGCGAAAGCAUUUGCCAAGGAUGUUUUCAUUAAUCAAGAACGAAAGUUAGGGGAUCGAAGACGAUCAGAUACCGUCGUAGUCUUAACCAUAAACUAUGCCGACUAGGGAUCGGAUGAUGUUAAUUUUUUAAUGACUCA